UUCCUCCCAGGUUGCGGCGGCUCGGCAGUUCAUCACAGCCGUGCUCGGCGGCCGGCUGAUGCUUGGCCGCUAGCCAUAGGUAGUGACGGACGAGACGGUAAGGCGGCAACUAGCAGCCACGUCGCAGGUCUGCGGCCGGCUACGAGGGGUCCCUUCGCCUCUUCACGACGACAUCGACAAGUCCAUGAUGUCGUCUCAAACGGACCCAGGACAUGGCGGGCUCUUGGUUCCCUUGUUUGUGAACUGGUGAUGCUUGUUUUCCUCCCUGAGAUGCCAGCAUCGCCAGAGUAACAUCAGGAUCCUGGCGCGCGUUCCCUCACUUUUUGUGUCCAACAUUACUUGCAGCCAGUUUUCACCUGUGAACCAGAACUUGUUUUCAGCAGGUAGCAUCCAACUCAAGGGUUCUCUUCCAUUUGUUCUCUUUUGUUGCUAGGGUGUUUGUAGCUACCCUCCAUUCAAAGAUUCGUAUUUUCCCUGACACCUUGGAUUUCCAGAUUAGGUCCCAUAUGCUCCGAUCAUUUGGGUCCCUGGUCGAGCUAGAGGGGUUUUGAGCUAGUUGUGGAAGUCCCAUUGCUGCAAGUUUGUAGGCGCUUCUGACCGAAAAAUCGCCAUUUCUCUCGUAAUGCCAUGCUAUGCGGUCCUCCAUGUCCGAGGAUGGGAUGUGAAUUUUGCAAAUCUUGGCUGCAU
Triticum dicoccoides is the source of this 687-nucleotide long non-coding RNA. RefSeq lists it as uncharacterized. The transcript is spliced from 3 exons. The record is from RefSeq and is a predicted model, not a curated record. NCBI's taxonomy places the organism in Eukaryota, Viridiplantae, Streptophyta, Magnoliopsida, Poales, Poaceae.